AAAAGGGAGAGGAUAAGUGUAACUAAACCCAUCUACAUACACAGAGACCUAACCUGCAGAGACAGGGUGACACCCCAGUCUAAAGAACCCAAACCCUGCCAACCAAACUGAGGGGCAGAUGAAGAACUGAUCAGAAAACACUCAUUAAGGAAAUGAAGUUUGCAGCUGUAAUUCUUGUCUGGAGAGCUUACCUUCAACCAUAUCCUGUUCAAAUGACUCCAGAGGAACACCAUCAGCCCCAGCACCAAGACUGAGGGGCAACCCAUUAGAGUCUGCAUUCUUGUUGGCUGCAGCAGAAUCUUAAGAAAAGGAUUCAGGACAGCUUCAAGAGCCAAGGAAAUAAAAGGAGACAUUUCUUCAGAUUUCUGAAACAAAGGUAGACUUGCCUCUUUGCCAGUAACAUGAGGGGACUCAAAGAUGGAAACUGCUAUCACCAUCAAGCCAUGAGACUUGAGAUGGAUCUUGAGUAUGCUAAAAGGCUGAGCAUAGAGCUGGCAUGGUACUCUGUGUGAAUGACUUCGUUUGAGUCCUGAAGCCAGUGCUGCUCCUGAUUUUCAGUGAUGUGACCCUUCCCCCAAUUCCUUUCAUGUCAAAGCCAGUUUGGGUGGACAUAUUCUGUCAUUUAGACAGGAGUCUAAACUGACUUAGAGCCGGCAGUCUUGGGCACAGGCAGAGAAAAGGCUGUUGAUACCGACCCAUGUGGCCCUUGAACAGAUUCACUUCCUAGUCAGAGUCAGUGCAAUUCAAAGCUGGUCCACCUUGCUGGCCUCAGGAAUUGCCACAGUCCCCAAACCUAGCACCUGACAUAACCUCACAGGUUACAUUUCCCCACCACUCGGGCUUUUAGGCCAAUUCUCUUCCUCUGAACUGUUCUCUAGGAAAGGCUUAGUUAAUUCACUCACCCUAAAGAAUGCAUGACUCAUCUUAAGUGUUAAAAUAUGUGCAUUUCAAAGGGACACAAAGUAUACAAUAGUGAAUGUAUUUCUAGUGGUGGGCUUUUGUUGGCACUAGAGAAAAUGUGAAAUUUUUCAAGUUGUUCUUGUUCAUAGCAUUUUUAAAAGCCCUUUUCAUUGCGGACAAAUGGGUUUUUCUGUGCCUAUAUAAUGCCACCAUACUGUACUUUUACAAUCAGUAAUGAGUAUAACUACCCACACGGGGCUUCACAGCCUGUCCUACUUCUAUGUAGAAAAAGUACCUUCAGAAACAUGAAGGGAAAAUUGCCAUGCCAAUAGUAAUCAAACAUGUAUAUGCUUCAUAUCAUAGGCAUUGCUCUAAGUACUUACAUAUAACAUCUAAUCAAAUCUUCAGCAUCAGUACUCUGCAAAGUAGCCAUAUUAUGAGGCUUAUGUUAAAGUUGAGGAACUUGAGGUGCAGAGAAAUUAAAUAACCUAAUCAAGGUAGCACUGUGACCAAGCUAAAGAAAACAGCCAAUCUCAAAUCCCUCAGAAUCACUGAGGUAGUGACCAAGCUCAAAUCUCUCAGAAUCACUGAAGUAGUGACCAAGCUCAAAUCCCUCAGAAUCACUGAGGUAGUGACCAAGCUCAAAUCCCUCAGAAGCACUAGGUUAGACAUGUCUUUAGUUUUCCUUGAUUCCCAAGAUGCCUAAUGAAAGCAUUGUUUUAGAAUCAUAAUGUUUGGAAGCCAAUUGAAGUACCUGGUACAUCAUAAAAAUGAGGCGAAGGGAUUAAGGGGACAGUGCUGUUUGUAAAAUGAUUGCCAUCUAAGCUGAGGCUUUGAGUUUAGAUUUCAUGUGGAAUGUCGGGUGUGGCAGCACACAUCUGAAAUCCCAGCUGUGGGGAGGUGGAGACAGGAACAUUCCUAGGAUUUGCUAGCCAGCCAGUAGGGCUGAAUUCAUAAACUCCAGCUUUAGUGAAAGAACCUGUCUCAAAAAUUAAAGAAUAGUACAAGUGAGAAUGACAUUUGAUGUCAAGCUCUGAUUUCCACAUGCACACAUGUACAUAUAUACUUUUACACAGUGCACAUGCAGGACAGGCACACAUGUGUGUAUACGCUCUUACACGGAGCACACGCAGGACAUGCACAUAUGUACAUAUAUGAUCUUACACAGGACAUACACACAUGUACAUAUUUUCUUCUUCCCUUCUUUCCCUUUCCCCAACCCUUUCUCUCUCUCUCAACCUAGAUUUUGUUUUUUUUCUAUUUUUUUGUGGAAAAUACUGAUAAUGUCUAAAUCUUAAAAGUAGACAUGUAAGACCAUAAAAGCUCUUCACUGUCAAAGAAACAAUGGUGUUGGGAAAAAUACCAAAAACAAUUUUGUAAUCCAAUCAGCCACUAAUAAGCCAACUCUUCUGGGUGUAGCACAAAGACUUCACAGAGAAGAAACUGUAGAAGCUGUCAUAGGAAGUCAGUGUAGGAAAGGGUCCUUUGGGUAUGGCAAGGAUGAGAACACAAGUAAGGACACGUGUGGGAGACGUACAGGGAAGAGGCUGAAGAACUUCGAGCCUGGAAGUGAGACUGGGAUGACAGUCCAUGAUUUGGAGAAGUGUCUCCCAAAGGCCUGUGUGUUGAAUGCAUGGUCCCCAGACCACAACAUUACUGGGAGGGGAUAUAACCUCUAAUAGAUAGGAUCUAGUGGGAGGAAUUUCAGUAAUGGGAACAUGUCCUUGAAGAGGAUGUUAAGACCCUGGCCCCUUUUGCUCUCUUUGCCUGGCUGCCUCGAUAUGAGCAAUCUCUUCUGCCACAUGUUCCUGCCGUGAUAGACUAGCUAAGCAUAGACCCAAGUACAACACGAUAAAGUGAUUGUAAACAGCAACCUCCAAAAUCAUGAGACAGCAGCAGCACAAGAGAAACAAACUUUUCCUUCAUUACAAAUUGAUUAUGUCUUUUCACAGAGAUGGAAAGCUGACUAACAUGGAUGGGCAAAUAGGGACAUGAGAACUUAUUAUGCCAAGCUAAGGAAUAAUUUUUUUCUUUGUUUUGUUCAUGGCUGUUCUUCAUCAGUUUGAACUAGAAGUAAUAUUUAUGCUGGGUGGUGUUGGCACACACCUUUAAUCCCAGCACUCGGGAGGCAGAGGCAGGCCGAUCUCUGUGAGUUUGGGGCCAGCCUGGUCUACAGAGUGAGUUCUAGGACAGCCAGGGCUACACAGAAAAACCCUGUCUUGAAAAACAAAAAGAAAAAAGAAAGAAAAGCUUUAUAAACUCUACGGUGUUAGAUCUGGGUGGUUUAGAGCAGUUUUAGGUCCACAGCAGAAUAGAGGGGAAGGUAUGGAGGGCUCCGAUAUACUUCUUGCCCUCACGUAUAUAUAUCCUCCCUCAAGUUUGCUUGGGUCCUGGAAGGAGGGGUUGGAGGGUGUGGAAGGAAAAUGGAAGAGUUCCAGGGAGGCAGGUUUAGAAGCCAGUAGCAUCAGUCAGAGCAGAGCUCUCUGCGCAGCAGCAGAGUGGGGGCCAGAGGAUCAGGUACAUGAAGAGAUAAUAUUUGGAAAGGAGACUAACAAGGCAUCGAGCAUGAAUGAGAAGGAAAAGGCAAUUCAGCCUUUCUGGCCUUUGAGCUGGGAGACCGGUCAGGUAGUAAAGAUUCCUACUUCUUUUCUGCAAUUGGAGACAAGUGUGGAAGCUCACAUCUGUAAUCCCAGUUUUGUGAGAAUGGAUGAUCACCAGUUCUAGAAUGGCUUGGACUAUGAGUAAGAGAAUGUCCCAAGCCAAUCAAACAGAAAAGCAAAGAAUAACAGCAAUACAAAUCAGGGAUGUAGCUUGGUUGGUGGGUAGAGAGCUUGGUUAGCAUACACAAAGCUCUGCGGUAAAGCCCUAGUAAUGUAUAAACCAAGUGUGGUGGUGCUGUAACCCCAGCACUCAGGAGGUGAAGGGAGGGUCAAUAGUUCCAGGUCAUUCUUUGUCCAAGACCAGCUGGGAUGCUGGAGACCUUGCCUCAAAUCACAACAGCAACAACAAACUCAACAGUGAUAGUAAGCACCUACAGCAGAUGAAAUAGAAAGCUAAAGUCCCACCCCAUACCCAGCACUCCUCCCCAGGGCACAGUUAUCAAAGACACUCUGACACAUUUCUUCAGUUUUUGCUAUCCUCAUACUGAACUCAGUUGAUUUUCCAAACCCCAAAAGCACUUAGUUUGUAAAAACACCUCGUAGAGGCCUUGCACUUUUUAGAGAGGAUGUUUCCAGUUCACCACGUGCUUCAUGUCUCACUGGGUAAAGUUUCACGAGACCAAAAUAUUGCUACACAGUGCCCAAGUGUAAGGUGUGAGUAAUUAAAUUGAUAAAUCUUCUUUAUUGUCCCUUCUCCAAGAAUAUAGGUACAUUCAAACCCCAAAGUGAAAAAUAAAAUAUAUUCUCUUUGGUAUUCAAUGCCCUGGAAAUGCCAUCAGGCUUGUGUUUGUAUGUAUAUCAACUUGUAGUUGGGGAGUUAGUUACAGAAACUGUACUCUCUUGUGGUCUAGAUAAUAUCACUUCUGCAAAUUAAAAAUAAGGAAUAUGUUACAGGGACAUGAAGAGACAACACUGAUUGCAUGUGAAGUCAUGGUUGAACAGCAUCCUCUCUACCAUGCACUUGUGUUUAUACACACACCCCACAUACACACAAUAAAAGCCAAUACAAAUUUCAGAGAAAAGAGGCAUGCUUUUUUAUGGCACUACAAUAAAUUGUGAUGCUCACAGUAAUUUGUGAUAUACCUCCAGAGAAUUCACUGGUUGGGAGUGAUUACCACUAACUACAAUACAAUAAAAUUCUAACUCUUUUGCAGAAAAAAAGAAGCUUGUAUCAAAAGAUACAAAACAUCAUGAAAGAGUGGCACUUUGGACAAAAAAUUGUUAAAAUUUUAAGUCUUAUGUUUAAUACUUUUUAGCUUCAAGUAAAAAUAAAUUAUUUAAUAUGUAGCAAGUGCUAAUUGUCGGCCAGUGGUUUUCUUAAAACAUCCUUAAUAGUACAACUUUCCAGAGAGGCAUUUCUAUAGUUCAAAAAGUAAUUCUAGCAUGAAUAGGAAGUAUUAUACAAGGAAUAACUAACAUUAUUAAAUAUUCAUUAUAUACCAGGCACUCCUUCAAAAUGUUCCCUCUUUACAAUCCUACGAUAAGACCCCAUGCUGGUUACUAAUAUUGGUUGCCAGUCUGAUGGGCUCUGGAGUCAACUAAGAUGCAGGCUCCUUGGCACAUCUGUGAAGGAUUUUCUUGAUUAGGUUAACUGAAGUCGUACAAACCACCUUAAGUAUGAGUGGCAGCAUCUAAGAAGGUGUGGGAGCAAAGCUUUUGCUUCUCAACUGUUUGCUUUCCUGUUCUGCUGGUCCUCUGCCCAGCUGUUGCUGCUGCCACUGCAAAUGCUGCUAUUAUCCUUCACUGCUAUAGGAACCCAGCUUCUCGGACCUUCCAACAAGGAGUGAAGACAAAGGGCUCUCUAGGAGUUAUUUUGGGCCAUCCAGUGCCAGGGUGAAAGAGCUGCAGCAUCCAUUCUUGUAGAUUGAGAAUCUCUAUUCUCAACCUCUCUUUUGUGAAGAUACCAUUACUGGACUACCCAAGCCAUGCCAUGUUAGACAAUUGAAAACAUUCCCCUUUAAUAGGUACUGACUCUGUCAGUUCUGUUCCUCUAGAGAACCCUGAAUAUUUACCUUGUUUUCCCAUUUUCAACACAUGCAUUCCAGCUUCUAGUAUUGAGGAUUUUAUAUUCAAGGGCUACUUAACCAGGCUGUUACUUUAGGGUGUUGUGAAGAUUAAUGAAGUUGAUAAAAUAUUAGCUACAUGGACUAGAAACAAAAGGAAUAUUUAAAUGAUUAAAUUCAGAAUUGGAGGUGGACAUUUUGUUUUGAAACCAGGAAGUCUUACUGUGUUGUCCAAACUGGCCUAGAACUUCUGAAUUUGGGAGAUCCUCCUACCUCAACUUCCCUAGUUGCUACAAGCAUAUGCCAUCAUUCCUGCCUUAGAAAAGGGUAUAUUAAUGCAAAUUCUACAGAAAUAAAAAGUAUAACAGAGGAAAAUGAACAAUUGGAGGCCAACAAAGGGUAUUACUUAGAUGAAAUGGAAAAGUCCUUAAGAACACAAAACCUAUCAAGACUAAAUUUUAAAGAAAUCAAUAACUCAAACAGAUGUAUAAAAAGAAAAGAAAUUGAAAAAGUGAUAAAAUAACAAUCCGGAAAAGAAAAGCACUGCAGCAAGUUUGGCCAAAUAUUUAAAGAAACAAGAAUAAUCCUUCUCAAACUUUUCCAAAAUAACCAGAGGAAGGCUGCUUCUUAUGUUAUCCCAUGAAACAAUAGCCCCACACCAAACUCAGAAAGACACACCACCACAAGAAAAGAAAACUGCUGGGAUGUGGUGUUACAUGUCUAUAAUCCCAGAAGCUGGGGGACCAGUGCAGGAGGAUCAAAGUUUGUGGUCAGCUUGAGACAUAUAUUGAGACCUUGUUUCAAGGAACCCAGCUAAGGAUACACUUCAGAGGAGGGGUAUUCACUUAGCACGAGCAAGGUCCUGGAUUUUUUUUUCUCUUCUUUCUUUCUUUCUUUCUUUCUUUCUUUCUUUCUUUCUUUCUUUCUUUCUUCCUUCCUUCCUUCCUUCCUUCCUUCCUUUCUUUCUUUCUUUUCUUUUUUUUUGGGGGGGGGAUUUUUCCAGACAGGGUUUCUCUGUAUUGUUUUGGAGCCUGUGAUAGAACUCACUGUGUAGACUUGGCUGGCCUCAAACUCACAGAGAUUCACCUACUUCUGCCUCCCAAGUGCUGGGAUUAAAGGCAUGCGCCACCAAUGCCCUUCAGGUCCUGGAUCUUCAAUCCCCAG
This 6727-nucleotide long non-coding RNA is filed under the name Cricetulus griseus (Chinese hamster). RNAcentral's name for it is "lncRNA (ENSCGRG00015041146.1)". The record is from RNAcentral. Lineage: Eukaryota; Metazoa; Chordata; Mammalia; Rodentia; Cricetidae.